Dermacentor albipictus is the source of this 446-nucleotide non-coding RNA. The record is from RefSeq and is a predicted model, not a curated record. NCBI's taxonomy places the organism in Eukaryota, Metazoa, Arthropoda, Arachnida, Ixodida, Ixodidae.
UUGAUGCGCCGCGAUUGAUGCGUCAAUUGACGGCUGCGCGUACCGCGUUAAGGAGACAUGGGUGGGCAAAGGAAAGUGUGGGUCACGCUCUGCGGGCCCGCUCGCCGCAAGGCUCCUCCACUCGUCUGCGGGAUUUCGAGCGAGCUCGGCGCGGUAUAUACGCGAGUCUUUGUGAACGCCCGAAUCGGCCCUGCCUCCGCCGCGGUAUCAGAGCGUAGUGUUGAUGGAUGGCUUCCGUCACAGGGAGCCGCAAACGGGUUGGGAACUCGCCGCCGUACCCGGCACCCUUCCCGGAGCUCCCCGAGAGCGUUCGAGUCGGAUGCACCAGGAGACCAGGUCGCAAUCCAGCAACGAAGGACAUUGUUAAUUGCUGCAUCCUGCUGCGUCUGUGUUCUAACAGACUCUAGGCCUCUGGAAAUCCUUCUGUGGCUUUCAGACUGCACCCC